This is a long non-coding RNA of Oryzias melastigma (Indian medaka), 782 nucleotides long. RefSeq lists it as uncharacterized. Lineage: Eukaryota; Metazoa; Chordata; Actinopteri; Beloniformes; Adrianichthyidae. The record is from RefSeq and is a predicted model, not a curated record. The transcript has 2 exons.
ACAGUGAGCGUUGUUUCUCAGGAUAAUUUCCGCCGUCUGGGGAAGGAAAAAACGACUGAGUCAGUGAGUGCAAGGAAGCAGCCAAAACCUUCCAUGGAGCAGGUUCAGGAACGCUAUUAUUAUUAUAAACGUCAGCAUCGGUGACACUUUAACAGAUUACUCACUCAUGAUAGAAAAUGAGUUACUGUCUAAACAGAUUUCCAAUCACUUGUUGAGACUUAAAACUGAGCAUCAACACAUCAAACACUAUCUUUAAUCAAAAGACGGAUGAAGAAGUUUCUCAGGUAAUAUAUUUUACAUAUUUUUAUUGAAUCUACUUGCACUGAUCAUUUUAAACAAGCACUACAUUAUGUAACGCCUCUGUCUUGUUAUUUUCAUACAGAGCUCCAUUCUUGCUGUCUGGUGGGAUGGAACAUUUUUCCAUCGUCUCACAUAGUUUUUUUUGUGGCGUUACGUCUGAACUUUGAAUAUAAUCCAUGUGUGAAAAUGAUGUUUCAUCUUUUCUAAGAAAGAAAAAAAAAACGUAAGCAUGUCCCCUGAGAAAAGCAAAAACAACGACAGAUGGAAGAACCUGGUAAUUCUGGAAGUUCACACAGUCAGCUGAUCUAGUUUGCUGCCAGAUGAGCCGGUGCUGUAAUUUUCCAAUGGAAAGCUGCUGCCCUUUGGCCAAGAAGUGCAUGCUGGGAAUAAUAGCUUAAAGACAACAGAAAAGUGUUGUUGCAUUUAUUUAUCUAUUGAAUAUUUUCAUUAGAUGCCCAAAAACUGAAAUAAAACAAAAAAAA